GUUUACGUUAAUGGAAAGGGUGACAUGUAUAAAUUUUCGAUAUUUGGUUCAGUGUUGAUUAAAGAUAUUUUAAAGUUGAUGUCGAAAUUAAUCUAAUGUAUUGUUUUGUCUUGGUUAAUGUGACUGUUGAGAAUCUGCUCUCACAUAAAUAAGUGGAAGGAACAGAAAAAUAAAUCCUUGUAUUCGCUAUUGAUGUAAAUCCAAAAUUUAGCAAGUGAUGGAUUUUCUUCGCAGAACCCCGAAAAUUCAUCCAUGGAACACAGCUUGAGAAAUAUGGCUCUAGUGGUUAGCUUGUCUCACUAUUGUUUUGUUUAAUUAUACUAAAACAUACCUGUAAUCUAUAAUCACUUCUGUAUAUGCUGUACAUAAAAUUUUUUGUUGUUGUUGAAUUAUUGACAUUUGUAAUUUCUUUUUUGAUUAGUAUGUUUAUGUUAAUUCUAUUUCUGCUAGGGAUCUGUCACACUCCUUAUGGCAGAAACGUUAGUUCUUUUCUUAUGCUCUCUUUCCUCCUCUUAUUUUUUUUCAUCCUUCAUUCAUGUACAUUUAUUCUCUCUUUAAAUUAAUAUAUAUAUAUACAGUUGAACCUCGAUAAAUCGAACCUCUAUUACUCGAAUUUUCGAUAAGUCAAAGCAAUUCUCGUUUUCCGAAUGGC
This 652-nucleotide long non-coding RNA is filed under the name Androctonus crassicauda. The record is from RNAcentral. Lineage: Eukaryota; Metazoa; Arthropoda; Arachnida; Scorpiones; Buthidae.